RNAcentral lists this ribosomal RNA (492 nucleotides) under uncultured bacterium. RNAcentral's name for it is "partial 16S ribosomal RNA". It matches the Rfam family "Bacterial small subunit ribosomal RNA", at positions 29 to 507 of the family's 1533-position model. The record is from RNAcentral.
AGUGAACGCUGGCGGUAGGCCUAACACAUGCAAGUCGAACGGCAGCACAGUAAGAGCUUGCUCUUACGGGUGGCGAGUGGCGGACGGGUGAGGAAUACAUCGGAAUCUACUUUUUCGUGGGGGAUAACGUAGGGAAACUUACGCUAAUACCGCAUACGACCUACGGGUGAAAGCAGGGGAUCUUCGGACCUUGCGCGAUUGGAUGAGCCGAUGUCGGAUUAGCUAGUUGGCGGGGUAAAGGCCCACCAAGGCGACGAUCCGUAGCUGGUCUGAGAGGAUGAUCAGCCACACUGGAACUGAGACACGGUCCAGACUCCUACGGGAGGCAGCAGUGGGGAAUAUUGGACAAUGGGCGCAAGCCUGAUCCAGCCAUACCGCGUGGGUGAAGAAGGCCUUCGGGUUGUAAAGCCCUUUUGUUGGGAAAGAAAAGCAGCAGGUUAAUACCCCGCUGUUCUGACGGUACCCAAAGAACAAGCACCGGCUAACUUCGUG